RNAcentral lists this ribosomal RNA (483 nucleotides) under Aeromonas sp. R-17681. RNAcentral describes it as "bacterial SSU rRNA". It matches the Rfam family "Bacterial small subunit ribosomal RNA", at positions 30 to 498 of the family's 1533-position model. Lineage: Bacteria; Pseudomonadati; Pseudomonadota; Gammaproteobacteria; Aeromonadales; Aeromonadaceae. The record is from RNAcentral.
AUUGAACGCUGGCGGCAGGCCUAACACAUGCAAGUCGAGCGGCAGCGGGAAAGUAGCUUGCUACUUUUGCCGGCGAGCGGCGGACGGGUGAGUAAUGCCUGGGGAUCUGCCCAGUCGAGGGGGAUAACAGUUGGAAACGACUGCUAAUACCGCAUACGCCCUACGGGGGAAAGGAGGGGACCUUCGGGCCUUUCGCGAUUGGAUGAACCCAGGUGGGAUUAGCUAGUUGGUGGGGUAAUGGCUCACCAAGGCGACGAUCCCUAGCUGGUCUGAGAGGAUGAUCAGCCACACUGGAACUGAGACACGGUCCAGACUCCUACGGGAGGCAGCAGUGGGGAAUAUUGCACAAUGGGGGAAACCCUGAUGCAGCCAUGCCGCGUGUGUGAAGAAGGCCUUCGGGUUGUAAAGCACUUUCAGCGAGGAGGAAAGGUUGGCGCCUAAUACGUGUCAACUGUGACGUUACUCGCAGAAGAAGCACCGGCU